This 795-nucleotide ribosomal RNA is filed under the name Staphylococcus aureus. RNAcentral's name for it is "bacterial SSU rRNA". It matches the Rfam family "Bacterial small subunit ribosomal RNA", at positions 28 to 800 of the family's 1533-position model. Lineage: Bacteria; Bacillati; Bacillota; Bacilli; Caryophanales; Staphylococcaceae. The record is from RNAcentral.
GAUGAACGCUGGCGGCGUGCCUAAUACAUGCAAGUCGAGCGAACGGACGAGAAGCUUGCUUCUCUGAUGUUAGCGGCGGACGGGUGAGUAACACGUGGAUAACCUACCUAUAAGACUGGGAUAACUUCGGGAAACCGGAGCUAAUACCGGAUAAUAUUUUGAACCGCAUGGUUCAAAAGUGAAAGACGGUCUUGCUGUCACUUAUAGAUGGAUCCGCGCUGCAUUAGCUAGUUGGUAAGGUAACGGCUUACCAAGGCAACGAUGCAUAGCCGACCUGAGAGGGUGAUCGGCCACACUGGAACUGAGACACGGUCCAGACUCCUACGGGAGGCAGCAGUAGGGAAUCUUCCGCAAUGGGCGAAAGCCUGACGGAGCAACGCCGCGUGAGUGAUGAAGGUCUUCGGAUCGUAAAACUCUGUUAUUAGGGAAGAACAUAUGUGUAAGUAACUGUGCACAUCUUGACGGUACCUAAUCAGAAAGCCACGGCUAACUACGUGCCAGCAGCCGCGGUAAUACGUAGGUGGCAAGCGUUAUCCGGAAUUAUUGGGCGUAAAGCGCGCGUAGGCGGUUUUUUAAGUCUGAUGUGAAAGCCCACGGCUCAACCGUGGAGGGUCAUUGGAAACUGGAAAACUUGAGUGCAGAAGAGGAAAGUGGAAUUCCAUGUGUAGCGGUGAAAUGCGCAGAGAUAUGGAGGAACACCAGUGGCGAAGGCGACUUUUCUGGUCUGUUACUGACGCUGAUGUGCGAAAGCGUGGGGGAUCAAACACGAAUUAUAUACCCUUGUAGUCCAAGGGC